RNAcentral lists this ribosomal RNA (252 nucleotides) under uncultured bacterium. Its description in RNAcentral is "partial 16S ribosomal RNA". It matches the Rfam family "Bacterial small subunit ribosomal RNA", at positions 524 to 776 of the family's 1533-position model. The record is from RNAcentral.
UACGGAGGGUGCAAGCGUUAUCCGGAAUCACUGGGUUAAAGGGUGCGUAGGCGGUCUGAUAAGUCAGUUGUGAAUUCCUCGGCUUAACCGAGUGGACUGCGAUUGAUACUGUCAGACUUGAAUCAGGUUGAGGUAGGCGGAAUGUGACAUGUAGCGGUGAAAUGCUUAGAUAUGUCAUAGAACACCGAUUGCGAAGGCAGCUUGCUGGCUUAGAUUGACGCUCGAGGCACGAAAGCGUGGGGAGCAAACAGG